Molecule: ribosomal RNA, 440 nt
Filed under: uncultured bacterium
Lineage: Bacteria
Description: bacterial SSU rRNA
Rfam family: Bacterial small subunit ribosomal RNA
Source: RNAcentral
CCUACGGGGGGCAGCAGUGGGGAAUAUUGCACAAUGGGGGAAACCCUGAUGCAGCCAUGCCGCGUGUGUGAAGAAGGUCUUCGGAUUGUAAAGCACUUUCGACGGGGACGAUGAUGACGGUACCCGUAGAAGAAGCCCCGGCUAACUUCGUGCCAGCAGCCGCGGUAAUACGAAGGGGGCUAGCGUUGCUCAGAAUGACUGGGCGUAAAGGGCGCGUAGGCGGUUUAUGCAGUCAGAUGUGAAAUCCCCGGGCUUAACCUGGGAACUGCAUUUGAGACGCAUAGACUAGAGGUCGAGAGAGGGUUGUGGAAUUCCCAGUGUAGAGGUGAAAUUCGUAGAUAUUGGGAAGAACACCGGUGGCGAAGGCGGCAACCUGGCUCGAUACUGACGCUGAGGCGCGAAAGCGUGGGGAGCAAACAGGAUUAGAUACCCGUGUAGUC